UACAGAGGGCCCGAGCGUUGUUCGGAUUCAUUGGGCGUAAAGGGUGCGUAGGCGGCGGGGCAAGUCUGAUGUGAAAUCCCGGGGCUCAACCCCGGAACUGCAUUGGAUACUGCCUUGCUUGAGUACUGGAGAGGGAACUGGAAUUUACGGUGUAGCAGUGAAAUGCGUAGAGAUCGUAAGGAAGGCCAGUGGCGAAGGCGAGUUCCUGGACAGUUACUGACGCUGAGGCACGAAGGCCAGGGGAGCAAACGGG
Molecule: ribosomal RNA, 253 nt
Filed under: uncultured bacterium
Lineage: Bacteria
Description: partial 16S ribosomal RNA
Rfam family: Bacterial small subunit ribosomal RNA
Source: RNAcentral